RNAcentral lists this ribosomal RNA (676 nucleotides) under Corynebacterium pseudotuberculosis. RNAcentral describes it as "bacterial SSU rRNA". It matches the Rfam family "Bacterial small subunit ribosomal RNA", at positions 216 to 901 of the family's 1533-position model. The record is from RNAcentral. Lineage: Bacteria; Bacillati; Actinomycetota; Actinomycetes; Mycobacteriales; Corynebacteriaceae.
CGGUACGAGAUGAGCCCGCGGCCUAUCAGCUUGUUGGUGGGGUAAUGGCCUACCAAGGCGUCGACGGGUAGCCGGCCUGAGAGGGUGGACGGCCACAUUGGGACUGAGAUACGGCCCAGACUCCUACGGGAGGCAGCAGUGGGGAAUAUUGCACAAUGGGCGCAAGCCUGAUGCAGCGACGCCGCGUGAGGGAUGACGGCCUUCGGGUUGUAAACCUCUUUCGACAGGGACGAAGCUUUUUGUGACGGUACCUGUAUAAGAAGCACCGGCUAACUACGUGCCAGCAGCCGCGGUAAUACGUAGGGUGCGAGCGUUGUCCGGAAUUACUGGGCGUAAAGAGCUCGUAGGUGGUUUGUCGCGUCGUCUGUGAAAUUCCGGGGCUUAACUCCGGGCGUGCAGGCGAUACGGGCAUAACUUGAGUGCUGUAGGGGAGACUGGAAUUCCUGGUGUAGCGGUGGAAUGCGCAGAUAUCAGGAGGAACACCGAUGGCGAAGGCAGGUCUCUGGGCAGUAACUGACGCUGAGGAGCGAAAGCAUGGGGAGCGAACAGGAUUAGAUACCCUGGUAGUCCAUGCCGUAAACGGUGGGCGCUAGGUGUGAGGGUCUUCCACGACUUUCGUGCCGUAGCUAACGCAUUAAGCGCCCCGCCUGGGGAGUACGGCCGCAAGGCUAAAACU